RNAcentral lists this ribosomal RNA (369 nucleotides) under Salmonella enterica subsp. enterica serovar Newport. RNAcentral's name for it is "partial 23S ribosomal RNA". It matches the Rfam family "Bacterial large subunit ribosomal RNA", at positions 1154 to 1503 of the family's 2925-position model. Lineage: Bacteria; Pseudomonadati; Pseudomonadota; Gammaproteobacteria; Enterobacterales; Enterobacteriaceae. The record is from RNAcentral. RNAcentral also lists the same sequence under 2 other names.
CGUAUCACUUAAAGCGAUUCAGCGGGUUACGAUUGACGGAGCGAAGCGACGUCAAAGCGUAUACAAAGUCGAGUCGGUUUAAGGAUACGUUCGUUGGGUAGGGGAGCGUUCUGUAAGCCUGUGAAGGUGGCCUGUGAGGGUUGCUGGAGGUAUCAGAAGUGCGAAUGCUGACAUAAGUAACGAUAAAGCGGGUGAAAAGCCCGCUCGCCGGAAGACCAAGGGUUCCUGUCCAACGUUAAUCGGGGCAGGGUGAGUCGACCCCUAAGGCGAGGCCGAAAGGCGUAGUCGAUGGGAAACGGGUUAAUAUUCCCGUACUUGGUGUUACUGCGAAGGGGGGACGGAGAAGGCUAUGUUGGCCGGGCGACGGUU